This 329-nucleotide RNase P RNA is filed under the name Chryseobacterium sp. SNU WT5. Its description in RNAcentral is "RNase P RNA component class A". It matches the Rfam family "Bacterial RNase P class A". From Rfam's summary of the family: Ribonuclease P (RNase P) is a ubiquitous endoribonuclease, found in archaea, bacteria and eukarya as well as chloroplasts and mitochondria. Its best characterised activity is the generation of mature 5'-ends of tRNAs by cleaving the 5'-leader elements of precursor-tRNAs. The record is from RNAcentral. Lineage: Bacteria; Pseudomonadati; Bacteroidota; Flavobacteriia; Flavobacteriales; Weeksellaceae.
CAAGAAAAACGUCCUGUUGAUUCCAAAUUCGUUUGGGGUAGGAAAGUCCGGACACCGUAGAGCAGCAAAGCGGAUAACAUCCGUCGGUCGUGAGAUCAGGACAAGUGCAACAGAAAGUAUGUAUAUUAAUUUAUAGUGAAACCAGGUAAACUCUUUGCGGUGCAAUGUUAAGUAUAUCGGAUUUUUUCAGCAAUGAAAAUAGGAGUGGCUCGUUCCAAAAACCGAGGGGUAAACAGCUAAAGUUUUGCAGCAAUGUAAAUCGUAGAUAAAUAACAGGCAUUUUGGUUUCGACCAAUUUACAGAAUCCGGCUUACAGUUUCUCUUGUGGG